ACGCACGCUGGCGGCAGGCCUAACACAUGCAAGUCGAGCGGACCCUUCGGGGUUAGCGGCGGACGGGUGAGUAACGCGUGGGAAUAUGCCCUUCUCUACGGAAUAGUCCUGGGAAACUGGGGGUAAUACCGGAUACGCCCUUUGGGGGAAAGAUUUAUCGGGGAAGGAUUAGCCCGCGUUGGAUUAGGUAGUUGGUGGGGUAAUGGCCUACCAAGCCGACGAUCCAUAGCUGGUUUGAGAGGAUGAUCAGCCACACUGGGACUGAGACACGGCCCAGACUCCUACGGGAGGCAGCAGUGGGGAAUCUUAGACAAUGGGGGCAACCCUGAUCUAGCCAUGCCGCGUGAGUGAUGAAGGCCUUAGGGUUGUAAAGCUCUUUCAGCUGGGAAGAUAAUGACGGUACCAGCAGAAGAAGCCCCGGCUAACUCCGUG
Molecule: ribosomal RNA, 432 nt
Filed under: uncultured bacterium
Lineage: Bacteria
Description: partial 16S ribosomal RNA
Rfam family: Bacterial small subunit ribosomal RNA
Source: RNAcentral